This 488-nucleotide long non-coding RNA is filed under the name Nicotiana tabacum (common tobacco). RNAcentral's name for it is "long non-coding RNA (NTAB_LNC012052)". Lineage: Eukaryota; Viridiplantae; Streptophyta; Magnoliopsida; Solanales; Solanaceae. The record is from RNAcentral.
GAAAUGAUGGUGCUUAUGGAAAUCCAUCUGGGUAUGGGGCUGUUGGACGUGCCAGUGGUGCUCCAAGUGGUAAUUCACCUGUUGGAGGUGGUGCUGCAGGAGACAUGCAAUCAGGUGCUGGGGGUUACAUGAGCGGUGGCUAUGGUGAUGCCAGUGGAAACUCUGGCUAUGGGAAUUCAGCAUGGAGGUCUGAUAACUCGCAGGGUUCCGGUAAUUAUGGUGCUCCACCAAACGGAGCUCAUGGUGGCCAAGCUGGAUAUGGUGGUGGAUAUGGAGGUGCUCCCAGUCGGCAAGCCCAACAGCAGUGAAUGAGAUGAUUCGUUUUUGUCUCAGACUUCACCUUUUACUGGAGAGUUUUGCUUCACUUUUGCGUUUCACAUGCUGCUCUUGCGAGAUGUCACCUGCUAAAUGAGACUGGUUGGAUUGCUUGAAUCCCCUAGUAGUUUGCAGUACUUAUUUUCUAGUUUAUAAUAACUAGUAUUGUCACU